This 206-nucleotide ribosomal RNA is filed under the name uncultured bacterium. RNAcentral describes it as "partial 16S ribosomal RNA". It matches the Rfam family "Bacterial small subunit ribosomal RNA", at positions 568 to 774 of the family's 1533-position model. The record is from RNAcentral.
AGCGCAGGCGGGCGAUCAAGUUGGAAGUGAAAUCCAUGGGCUCAACCCAUGAACUGCUUUCAAAACUGGUCGUCUUGAGUAGUGCAGAGGUAGGCGGAAUUCCCGGUGUAGCGGUGGAAUGCGUAGAUAUCGGGAGGAACACCAGUGGCGAAGGCGGCCUACUGGGCACCAACUGACGCCGAGGCUCGAAAGUGUGGUAGCAAACA